This 274-nucleotide ribosomal RNA is filed under the name uncultured bacterium. RNAcentral's name for it is "partial 16S ribosomal RNA". It matches the Rfam family "Bacterial small subunit ribosomal RNA", at positions 523 to 796 of the family's 1533-position model. The record is from RNAcentral.
AUACGGAGGGUGCAAGCGUUACUCGGAAUCACUGGGCGUAAAGCGCGCGCAGGCGGCUUGAUAAGUUGGAUGUGAAAGCCUACGGCUCAACCGUAGAACUGCAUCCAAAACUGUCAGGCUAGAGUGUGGGAGAGGAAGAUGGAAUUAGUUGUGUAGGGGUAAAAUCCGUAGAGAUAACUAGGAAUACCAAAAGCGAAGGCAAUCUUCUGGAACACUACUGACGCUGAGGCGCGAAGGCGUGGGGAGCAAACAGGAUUAGAAACCCCUGUAGUCC